Molecule: ribosomal RNA, 379 nt
Filed under: uncultured cyanobacterium
Lineage: Bacteria; Bacillati; Cyanobacteriota
Description: bacterial SSU rRNA
Rfam family: Bacterial small subunit ribosomal RNA
Source: RNAcentral
CGCAAGCCUGACGGAGCAAGACCGCGUGGGGGAGGAAGGCUCUUGGGUUGUAAACCCCUUUUCUCAGGGAAGAACAAAUGACGGUACCUGAGGAAUCAGCCUCGGCUAACUCCGUGCCAGCAGCCGCGGUAAUACGGAGGAGGCAAGCGUUAUCCGGAAUUAUUGGGCGUAAAGAGUCCGUAGGUGGUUCAUCAAGUCUGCUGUUAAAGCGUGCAGCUCAACUGCAUAUAGGCAGUGGAAACUGUUGAACUAGAGUAUGGUAGGGGGAGGGGGAAUUCCCAGUGUAGCGGUGAAAUGCGUAGAGAUCGGGAAGAACAUCGGUGGCGAAAGCGCUCUACUGGACCGCAACUGACACUGAGGGACGAAAGCUAGGGGAGCG